GACGAACGCUGGCGGCGUGCCUAAUACAUGCAAGUUGAGCGCUGAAGGUUGGUACUUGUACCAACUGGAUGAGCAGCGAACGGGUGAGUAACGCGUGGGGAAUCUGCCUUUGAGCGGGGGACAACAUUUGGAAACGAAUGCUAAUACCGCAUAAAAACUUUAAACACAAGUUUUAAGUUUGAAAGAUGCAAUUGCAUCACUCAAAGAUGAUCCCGCGCUGUAUUAGCUAGUUGGUGAGGUAAAGGCUCACCAAGGCGAUGAUACAUAGCCGACCUGAGAGGGUGAUCGGCCACAUUGGGACUGAGACACGGCCCAAACUCCUACGGGAGGCAGCAGUAGGGAAUCUUCGGCAAUGGACGAAAGUCUGACCGAGCAACGCCGCGUGAGUGAAGAAGGGUUUCGGAUCGUAAAACUCUGUUGGUAGAGAAGAACGUUGGUGAGAGUGGAAAGCUCAUCAAGUGACGGUAACUACCCAGAAAGGGACGGCUAACUACGUG
RNAcentral lists this ribosomal RNA (497 nucleotides) under uncultured bacterium. Its description in RNAcentral is "partial 16S ribosomal RNA". It matches the Rfam family "Bacterial small subunit ribosomal RNA", at positions 28 to 507 of the family's 1533-position model. The record is from RNAcentral.